UACGGAGGGGGCAAGCGUUGUUCGGAAUUACUGGGCGUAAAGGGCGCGCAGGCGGCUGCUCAAGUCAGGCGUGAAAGGCCUGGGCUCAACCCGGGAAUUGCGCUUGAGACUGGGCUGGCUUGAGUGCGGGAGAGGAUGGUGGAAUUCCCAGUGUAGAGGUGAAAUUCGUAGAUAUUGGGAAGAACACCGGUGGCGAAGGCGGCCAUCUGGACCGCAACUGACGCUGAGGCGCGAAAGCCAGGGGAGCGAACGGG
Molecule: ribosomal RNA, 254 nt
Filed under: uncultured bacterium
Lineage: Bacteria
Description: partial 16S ribosomal RNA
Rfam family: Bacterial small subunit ribosomal RNA
Source: RNAcentral